Molecule: ribosomal RNA, 460 nt
Filed under: uncultured bacterium
Lineage: Bacteria
Description: partial 16S ribosomal RNA
Rfam family: Bacterial small subunit ribosomal RNA
Source: RNAcentral
CCUACGGGAGGCAGCAGUGAGGAAUAUUGGUCAAUGGACGCAAGUCUGAACCAGCCAUGCCGCGUGCAGGAUGACGGCCCUAUGAGUUGUAAACUUCUUUUGUACGAGAGUAAACGCAGAUACGUGUAUCUGUCUGAAAGUAUCGUACGAAUAAGGAUCGGCUAACUCCGUGCCAGCAGCCGCGGUAAUACGGAGGAUUCAAGCGUUAUCCGGAUUUAUUGGGUUUAAAGGGUGCGUAGGUGGUCGGUUAAGUUAGUGGUGAAAUCUCGAGGCUCAACUUCAGAAUUGCCAUUGAUACUGGUCGGCUAGAGAGUAGUUGCGGUAGGCGGAAUGUAUGGUGUAGCGGUGAAAUGCUUAGAGAUCACGCAGAACACCGAUUGCGAAGGCAGCUUACCAAGCUGCUACUGACGUUGAGGCACGAAAGUGUGGGGAGCAAACAGGAUUAGAUACCCUGGUAGUC